This 253-nucleotide ribosomal RNA is filed under the name uncultured bacterium. RNAcentral describes it as "partial 16S ribosomal RNA". It matches the Rfam family "Bacterial small subunit ribosomal RNA", at positions 524 to 776 of the family's 1533-position model. The record is from RNAcentral.
UACGGGGGGGGCAAGCGUUGUUCGGAAUUACUGGGCGUAAAGGGCGCGUAGGUGGCCUUCUAAGUUGAACGUGAAAUCCCUGGGCUCAACCCAGGAACUGCGUCCAAGACUGGGAGGCUUGAAUCCGGGAGAGGGAUGCGGAAUUCCAGGUGUAGCGGUGAAAUGCGUAGAUAUCUGGAGGAACACCGGUGGCGAAGGCGGCAUCCUGGACCGGUAUUGACGCUGAGGAGCGAAAGCGUGGGGAGCGAACAGG